AUCGCCUGGUGAAGUUUUUUAAUUAUACCUUUGGCCAAAUGAAGAUCACCUUGAAGCUGGCUGAUCUCCUCUUUAGCUUCAUUUCCAACUUUGUCCGAUGCAAUAGCAUACUUUAGCAUCAAUAUUUCAUAUUGGUUCUUGCACAACCAUUUGAUGAAAAAAACUUUUGACACUCCUAUUCUCUAGUUAAUUAGCAUUUCCAACAGACUUCGCAAAUCUAUCAUGCUCUUCAGUUAACCUACAUUUGGUG
Molecule: long non-coding RNA, 250 nt
Filed under: Elaeis guineensis (African oil palm)
Lineage: Eukaryota; Viridiplantae; Streptophyta; Magnoliopsida; Arecales; Arecaceae
Description: long non-coding RNA (EGUI_LNC033173)
Source: RNAcentral